Molecule: ribosomal RNA, 496 nt
Filed under: uncultured bacterium
Lineage: Bacteria
Description: partial 16S ribosomal RNA
Rfam family: Bacterial small subunit ribosomal RNA
Source: RNAcentral
AUGAACGCUGGCGGCGUGCCUAAUACAUGCAAGGCGAGCGAACAGACGAGGAGCUUGCUCCUCUGACGUUAGCGGCGGACGGGUGAGUAACACGUGGAUAACCUACCUAUAAGACUGGGAUAACUUCGGGAAACCGGAGCUAAUACCGGAUAAUAUAUUGAACCGCAUGGUUCAAUAGUGAAAGACGGUUUUGCUGUCACUUAUAGAUGGAUCCGCGCCGCAUUAGCUAGUUGGUAAGGUAACGGCUUACCAAGGCAACGAUGCGUAGCCGACCUGAGAGGGUGAUCGGCCACACUGGAACUGAGACACGGUCCAGACUCCUACGGGAGGCAGCAGUAGGGAAUCUUCCGCAAUGGGCGAAAGCCUGACGGAGCAACGCCGCGUGAGUGAUGAAGGUCUUCGGAUCGUAAAACUCUGUUAUUAGGGAAGAACAAAUGUGUAAUUAACUAUGCACGUCUUGACGGUACCUAAUCAGAAAGCCACGGCUAACUACGUG